This 69-nucleotide transfer RNA is filed under the name Marphysa tamurai. RNAcentral describes it as "tRNA-Gln". It matches the Rfam family "tRNA". Rfam says of the family: Transfer RNA (tRNA) molecules are approximately 80 nucleotides in length. Their secondary structure includes four short double-helical elements and three loops (D, anti-codon, and T loops). The record is from RNAcentral. Lineage: Eukaryota; Metazoa; Annelida; Polychaeta; Eunicida; Eunicidae.
UACAGGUUAGUGUACAGAGCACAUAGGCCUUUGACGCCUAAAGAUAAAGUGCAAUUCUUUAACCUAUAA